GUUUGGGAGGAGUUUACGAACUCCGAGUGGUGAAGGAUAGUGCCAAGAAAAGCUGGCUAUGUGAUGAAGAUAGAACACCCGUACCCGAAACCGACACAGGUAGGGAGGUUGAGAAUACCAAGGGGCGCGAGAUAACUCUCUCUAAGGAACUCGGCAAAAUGGCCCCGUAACUUCGGGAGAGGGGGUGCCCACCUCAGACGUGGGUCGCAGUGAAGAGAUCCAGGCGACUGUUUACCAAAAACACAGGUCUCCGCCAACUCGCAAGAGGACGUAUGGGGGCUGACGCCUGCCCAGUGCCGGAAGGUUAAGGAAGCUGGUCAGCGAAAGUAAAGCUGGCGACUGAAGCCCCGGUGAACGGCGGCCGUAACUAUAACGGUCCUAAGGUAGCGAAAUUCCUUGUCGGGUAAGUUCCGACCCGCACGAAAGGCGUAACGAUCUGGAUGGUGUCUCAGAGAGAGACUCGGCGAAAUAGGAAUGUCUGUGAAGAUACGGACUGCCUGCACCUGGACAGAAGGACCCUAUGAAGCUUUACUGUAGCCUGGAAUUGUGUUCGGGCUUCGCUUGCGCAGGAUAGGUGGGAAGCGGUGAACUAUUCCUUUUGGGGAAUAGGGAGCUAACGGUGAGAUACCACUCUGGCGAAGCUAGAAUUCUAACCCACGACCGUCAGCCGGUUGGGGAACAGUUUCAGGUGGGCAGUUUGACUGGGGCGGUCGCCUCCUAAAAAGUAACGGAGGCGCGCAAAGGUUCCCUCAGCACGCUUGGAAACCGUGCGACGAGUGUAAAAGCAAAAGGGAGCUUGACUGCAAGACUGACAAGUCGAGCAGGUACGAAAGUAGGCUUUAGUGAUCCGACGGCGCAGAGUGGAAUGGCCGUCGCUCAACGGAUAAAAGUUACUCUAGGGAUAGCAGGCUGAUCUCCCCCAAGAGUCCACAUCGACGGGGAGGUUUGGCACCUCGAUGUCGGCUCAUCGCAACCUGGGGCGGAAGUACGUCCCAAGGGUUGGGCUGUUCGCCCAUUAAAGCGGUACGUGAGCUGGGUUCAGAACGUCGUGAGACAGUUCGGUCCAUAUCCGGUGCAGGCGCAAGAGUAUUGAGAGGAGUCCUCCUUAGUACGAGAGGACCGGGAGGAACGCACCGCUGGUGUACCAGUUAUUGUACCAACAGUAAACGCUGGGUAGCCAAGUGCGGAGAGGAUAACCGCUGAAAGCAUCUAAGUGGGAAGCCCACCUCAAGAUGAGUACUCUCACUACAAAAAGUAGGUAAGGUCACGGGCAGAACACCCGUUAAUAGGCUCUAAGUGGAAGUGCAGUAAUGUAUGAAGCUGAGGAGUACUAAUAGACCGAGGGCUUG
RNAcentral lists this ribosomal RNA (1349 nucleotides) under metagenome. RNAcentral's name for it is "bacterial LSU rRNA". It matches the Rfam family "Bacterial large subunit ribosomal RNA", at positions 1564 to 2925 of the family's 2925-position model. The record is from RNAcentral.